RNAcentral lists this ribosomal RNA (837 nucleotides) under Wolbachia endosymbiont of Odontotermes horni. RNAcentral's name for it is "bacterial SSU rRNA". It matches the Rfam family "Bacterial small subunit ribosomal RNA", at positions 84 to 959 of the family's 1533-position model. Lineage: Bacteria; Pseudomonadati; Pseudomonadota; Alphaproteobacteria; Rickettsiales; Anaplasmataceae. The record is from RNAcentral.
UGUAUAACUUAGUGGCAGACGGGUGAGUAAUGUAUAGGAAUCUACCUAGUAGUACGGAAUAAUUGUUGGAAACGGCAACUAAUACCGNUNUACGCCCUACGGGGGAAAGAUUUAUCGCUAUUAGAUGAGCCUAUAUUAGAUUAGCUAGUUGGUAAGGUAAUUGCUUACCAAGGCAAUGAUCUAUAGCUGAUCUGAGAGGAUGAUCAGCCACACUGGAACUGAGAUACGGUCCAGACUCCUACGGGAGGCAGCAGUGGGGAAUAUUGGACAAUGGGCGAAAGCCUGAUCCAGCCAUGCCGCAUGAGUGAAGAAGGCCUUUGGGUUGUAAAGCUCUUUCGGUGAGGAAGAUAAUGACGGUACUCACAGAAGAAGUCCUGGCUAACUCCGUGCCAGCAGCCGCGGUAAUACGGAGAGGGCUAGCGUUAUUCGGAAUUAUUGGGCGUAAAGAGCGCGUAGGCUGGUUAGUAAGUUAAAAGUGAAAUCCCAAAGCUCAACUUUGGAAUUGCUUUUAAAACUGCUAACCUAGAGAUUGAAAGAGGAUAGAGGAAUUCCUAGUGUAGAGGUGAAAUUCGUAAAUAUUAGGAGGAACACCAGUGGCGAAGGCGUCUAUCUGGUUCAAAUCUGACGCUGAGGCGCGAAGGCGUGGGGAGCAAACAGGAUUAGAUACCCUGGUAGUCCACGCUGUAAACGAUGAAUGUUAAAUAUGGGAAGUUUACUUUCUGUAUUACAGCUAACGCGUUAAACAUUCCGCCUGGGGACUACGGUCGCAAGAUUAAAACNCAAAGGAAUUGACGGGGACCCGCACAAGCGGUGGAGCAUGUGGUUAAUUCGAUGCAA